Long non-coding RNA from Bombyx mori (domestic silkworm), 2359 nucleotides. RefSeq lists it as uncharacterized. NCBI's taxonomy places the organism in Eukaryota, Metazoa, Arthropoda, Insecta, Lepidoptera, Bombycidae. The transcript has 3 exons. The record is from RefSeq and is a predicted model, not a curated record.
CGGCCAAUGGUUACAAGACCUUAUAGCCUAUCUUAAAUUAAUUUUCACGCUUGAAGUACGUAAAAAUUCACAAGUAGUUAUUAAACAAAACAGCAUCAAAUUGAAGUAUUAACAUUAACGUUUGUUUUUAAACAUUUCCUAUUGUGUUAACAAUAUAUCUAUAAAUUGGUUUAAAAUUCAACGGGUUUGAUAAAAUUUCUUCUAAGUCCAUCCUUACGCCUGUUUGUAAAGGCUCGUCACCCUUAGAAACAUCGUCCAGCUCAGAUACUAAAAUUAAUCUAUUUAUACUAUAUUUAUGACAUUUCAUAACAAUAUGUUUCAGAUCAGCGACCUCAUUGACACAAAAUUGACAGUUUUUGUCCGUUGCUAAACGUAGUUUAAACAAAUGAGCAGGAAUUCUACAAUGACCGAAUCUCAAUCUAUUAAUGGUGGUAAUGAAUUGUCUGGAAUUAGCUUCUUUAAAUUUGUUAUACCAAGGUACAUGUGGCGGGGUAUUCUGUAUCUUUGUAUACCAUUUCCCUUUUUCUUGGCUUAUAGACCUCCAGUGUUCAUACCACAGCGUUUUAACAUUUUCCGAUAUUUUCUGCUGGAAGUCAGUAAACGGUACUUUUGUUACAUUAGUGUGGUCUUCGUCACAUGCACCUCGCACUGCACAGUCUACAGCUUCAUUGCCAAAAAUACCACAAUGAGCAGACUUUGCCAGGGACACCAAUAUCACUAAGAAUCUGUAUAAGUAAAGAGGGAUUGACAUUAUCAAAUGCACCACUUAUAUCAAGGAAAGCGCAAGCUGUGUAUGAAUGGCUGUGAAAAGAAUUUUUAAUAUCUGUAACCAGAGACAUAUAGUUUUCUGCUGCACUUUUACCUCUACGGAAACCAAAUUGCUGUUCAGAUGGGUUGUGAUGAACUGUACCUACGGUGGUUGGAGAUCCGGAAUUUAGAAUGCAAAGACUACAUUCAUCUAACAGAUUGAAUACAUCAUUACCUCUGGAAUUUGAUGAAGCACAACCAAAUGCAACAUGAUGUGCAUUCAAGUCGCCAGCCAGGAAUACUGGUUUUGGCAGUUUAUUGAUAAUAGUUUUUAAAGUUUUGUAUUGAAACCGUCCACCUCUAGGAGGACUAUAUGCACACAACAAGGAUAAAUUUGAAUUCUUGGUUUUUAGAACAACUGCAGCUGUUUGUAAAUAUUCAUGGUAAGGUGUACAAAUCACCUGAUAUUUAAAUGUGUCUUUUAAUAAAAUUGCUACACCGCCAUGACCGUUGGGUCCAUUUUGAAGAACAAUAUUGUAUUCAGGUAUAUUGAAGGGACUGUUUUCUCUCAGCCAUGUUUCAUUUAACAUACAGAUAUCAAUAUCAUACUCAGAAAGAAAGUUAAUCAAUAAAGGUUUUUUGUUACGCACACUUUGAAUGUUAAAUUGAGCAAUUGUUAGAAAAGAUUUUAAGUUAGUCUGUAAAUUGUUAUAACUAAAAUUUGCCAUUGUCUAAACUAGGUUUUUUAAAAAUAUUUCCUUUAUUUUAUUAAUUGUUAUAUUAUCAUCAUUAGAUGAGUUCGCUAAAGUAACUAGUGAUCUUACAAUAGCGUUUAAUAUAAUGUCGUUGUUGGCAAUCUGUUCUUUGUUCAUUAUAAUAUUAUCUUUCUUGUUAAAUGAAUUGCUAUUGUUAUUUAAAAUAGGUUUUUCUUUAGUUUUUAAAGGUGGAAAGUUUUUAUCGUUACUUGUUAUUGAUGCAAAUGUACUGUUUUUGGGAAUUUCUGACCGUUUUAAUUCAAUUUUUUUCUUUUUUAUAGGGCAGUCCCGGGAUACAGCUAAAUGUCCCCCACCACAGUUAAUACAUACUAAAAUGUCAGACACACACUCUUUGUAAUGAUGAUCUCCUGCACAAUAUGAACACAUUUGCUUACUGCGACAUACUUUAGCGGAAUGAUUAAAUUUGAAACAUUUGAAGCACUGUAUUAGAGGUGAAAUAUAUGUCUGUACUUCGCAGCGAAACAAGUUGAGAUACACAUAACGGGGUAAUGUAGUUGUUGAAAAAGUUAUAGCCACAGAGCUCAUAGGCAUUAACUUCUUGUCUGCAUUUCUUUUCAUAAACCUCUUAAUAGAUAUGAUUUCAGCAUCGCUACUAAUAUUUUUAUAGAUGUCUUCGUUGGAUAAGUCUGUAGGCACAAAUUUAAUCACACCCACCUUCUCUACUAAGUGAGCAGGUAUAAAGGCGCGGAAUUUGUGCUUGCUGAGAAAGUUGUCAAGUUUGAUAAAGCUAUUAGCAUCUGCAGCUUUUUGGAAAUUCACACCAAUUUUAUAUGCAUUAAUUCGUGAAACACAUGUAAUGCCUUUGACAUUCUCAUUUAAUAAACUUGUUAAUUUUA